Molecule: ribosomal RNA, 253 nt
Filed under: uncultured bacterium
Lineage: Bacteria
Description: partial 16S ribosomal RNA
Rfam family: Bacterial small subunit ribosomal RNA
Source: RNAcentral
UACAGAGACCUCAAGCGUUAUCCGGAUUUAUUGGGCGUAAAGCGCAGGUAGGCGGAUAUGUUAGUCGGAUGUCAAAGCCCCCGGCUCAACCGGGGACAGGCAUUCGAAACGGCAUAUCUCGAGGCAGUGAGAAAUCGGUGGAAGUCACGGUGUAGUAGUGAAAUGCGUUGAUAUCGUGAGGAACACCAAAGGCGAAGGCAACCGAUUAGCACUGAUCUGACGCUGAGCUGCGAAAGCGUGGGGAGCGAAUGGG